CAAACUUGCCGGAAGAGAACUUCGGUGAGCGUCUCCUUAUUGACCCGCCAUUAUUCACCUUAUUUAGGGCCUUUUUAUUGCCCUUUUGUCUUUUUUAGUGACCCCUGGCACCCCCGGCACUCAAGCAUUGACCCCAGACAACCCUGUCACUCCAUUGCUGACCCAGGGAACCCUGGCACUCCAGCACUGACCCCAGACAACCCCAACACCCCAGUGCUAACUCCAGACAACCUUGGCGUUCCAGUGCUGACCCCAGACAACCCUGGCACUCCAGUGCUGACCCCAAAUAACCCUGGCACUCUAGCACUGACCCCAAACAACCCAGGCACUUCAGUGCUGACCCCAAACAACCCAGGAACUCCAGCACCAACCCCAGACAACCCUGGCACUGCGUGUGAACGACCCUUCCAAACAAGCAGUAACCCCAGUCUUGUCCAGAAUCCAGUUGACCCCAUGUUUAUCUUACAUCAUUUGCAGCCGCGACAAAUAAUUCCCAAUUUGACGAAAUUGUUGCCUGCAACAGAGUGAACGUGUUCUUUAUGUAAUGCGUUCCUGAGCACAACUUGAGUUGUGGCGUAAGGGAGGAGCACCGGGUGGUGCCAGGUGGCACCAGGUGGCACCAGGUGGCACUGAGCUGAUGCCAGGUGGUGCUGAAGCCUGAUUUAACUCUACAACACUCAUGUAUAUCUUCAGGUGUGGUAUUAAACUCCACCUGAUGACCCUGGGAAUGACCUGACCUGCCCUAACCCUUGCUGAACUUGACCUGACAACCGAGGAACGACCUGACCCAUCCUAACCCUUGUUGAACAUGACAUGACAACCUGGGAAUGACUUGACCUGCCCUAACCCUAAUUAAACCUGACCUGAUGACCUAGAAAUGACCCAACCUGUCCUAAUCUUAAUUAUACUUGACCUGACAUCCUAGAAACAACCUGACCUGUCCUAACCUCAGUUGAACUUGGCUUGACGACCUAGAAGCAACCUGACCUGUCCUAACCUUAAUUAUACUUGGUCUGAUGACCUAGAAAUGACCUGACCUGUCCUAACCCUAAACUUGACUUGAUGACCUAGAAACAAACUGACCUGCCCUAACCCUAGUUAGCUUGACCUGACAACUCAGGAAUGAUCUGACCUUCCCUAACUCAGGUCUGACCAAUCACGCCACUGCCGGAAGGUCAGCUGUCAUUGGUCGAGGUCGGUCAAGUCAUCCUGACCCUCGACCAACACCUUCAGUCUCACAAGUACUGAAGGUGUGUCUGCCACAAGACCAGCUGUGUGCAUCUGCCACAAUACCAUCUGUGUGCAUCUGCCACAAGACCAGCUGUGUGUGUCUGCCACAAGACCAGCUGUGUGCAUCUGCCACAAGACCGGCUGUGUGCAUCUGCCACAAGACCAGCUGUGUGCAUCUGCCACAAGACCAGCUGUGUGUGUCUGCCACAAGACCAGUUGUGUGCAUCUGCCACAAGACCACCUGUGCGCAUCUAUCACAAGACCAGCUGUGUACAUCUACCACAAGACCAGCUGUGUGCGUCUGCCACAAGACAAGCUGUGUGCAUCUGCCACAAGACCAGCUGUGUGUGUCAAUUGACAACAUUAAUACUUGUCAAAUGACGACUCGGAACAAAUCACAUGCA
Cherax quadricarinatus is the source of this 1634-nucleotide long non-coding RNA. RefSeq lists it as uncharacterized. Lineage: Eukaryota; Metazoa; Arthropoda; Malacostraca; Decapoda; Parastacidae. The record is from RefSeq and is a predicted model, not a curated record.